Cyprinus carpio carpio is the source of this 2682-nucleotide long non-coding RNA. The record is from Ensembl. NCBI's taxonomy places the organism in Eukaryota, Metazoa, Chordata, Actinopteri, Cypriniformes, Cyprinidae.
GGCGGGUGUUCUUUGUGUGCUCUGGGAUGACUUACCACACAGGAUGUGGCCGGAGAAGGGAAAGGACAACACUGCACUCUUUCAUGUCCCAUUUCUGAAGUCUGGAACGUGGCGGCUUCUUAAUUCUGCUAAAAGGACAAUGAAAGUUCCAUGGGAUACAAAGUCCCAAGAGCGAGCCUCUGCAGUGAUGCUAAUAUUUCAGAUUGAACUUCCUGCCUCUGCUUGAGUGCUGAAAUAUUGUGAAGUUUAUGCAAAGAAAGCGGUCGGCCUGAGACACUUAACGAAGCCACAUGGAGUCAGCAGCCAGAAAAAAACAUCCUCACGAUGACUCCACAGUCUGCGAAACAUGGGAAGGAUUCUGGCGUGGUGCUCUCGCUCAUCCUGUGUGUACAAUACCACGCUUACAGGAGAGCUAAUAAUAUGCUCCCGGGGCCUGCUCAGCACUGAGGAAAGUGCCUGUCAGUGGUUUCGCUUGCUUUGCUCUCAACACUGCCUGGUUUUGGCCGUCUGUCAUAUUCUGAUGGAGUGCUGGGUUCGGCGUAUUCAACUACCUUCUGGCUUGGGCAAGAACAGCUCACAUGGCAAAACAAAAGGGUAUAAAUACCACCCAAACCUUCCUGCCGCAGCGCCUGCAUUCUGUGGAAAAUAGCUGAAGGCACGAGAAACCCACGGCAAAACGAGGGUUCUCACGGUAUAUUAAUGACUCUCGAGUGAACGUGGUGUGCUGUGGGAUAGCGGUCCCCAUGAGGGCAGCCAAGUUCAUAAGGUUUUCGGAGUGUCUUCGAGCUUGUCUGGCCUUGCUCUAAUUUUGGAAGAGGAAUGCAGGUGACCCGAUCGUCAUCCACAGGAAUGUUCGUUGCCAGAACACCGCGAGUGGACACGAGUUACGCAGAAGUCACACAAACUCCAGCAUGGUGCUAUCUGCAACCAGAGUAAUAAAUGUGGUUCUGAAAAAACGCUGAUAGACUGCUGGAGCAUUACAAGUUUCAGCGCUGGAGGCUGGAUGAAUGGGGGAAAGCCAAGCACAUGAACUCUGUUGACAUUCAGCAAUUCAACUUGCAUUUUCUCUGAAGCUUCCUAAAAUAACAGUCUUUUAAAACAGGUUUUUCUGCUGGGAUUUGUAAUCGCUUGAACAUCAAAAGGCACAAUCGUUUACAGAGCUCUGUUCUUUUUAGCAUCGCUUCAGCUUGGCAAUAACAAGAGGAAUUUCAGUGUGUUUAUAAGUUCAGAUAAACACUCAGUGACUCAUUGAUUUUCUUCAGGAAUAUCAUGGAUGCUGAUCUGAAAAGUGGGCGUUAUUUGGAAAAUCGGUUUUUGGACUGUUAAUUUCGAAUUCUGUGUGAGUUGUUCAAUACGGUAUAGAUUGUGUAGGAGCAAAAACAUCUGUUUUAGCAGUAUUAAUAAACUUUUCACUGGUGUCUGAAAAGUUAGUGAGCUGCCUUCUUAGACAGGAUGUUUGGAAUGCGCUUGUGAUACUUUAAGUAGGCAGCUCUUUUGUUUUAUUUAUUUUCUCUCUACCUGAGUGGCUCAAUAUGUAUGACAUCCAAAAAUGCUCACUAGGCAUGAUUCCCAAAAAAAGUUGUGAAGGAAGGCAGCUCAAUUGACAUGGUCCCUAAACCUGCUGCCUACCCAGAUAGCACACGCAUGUCUGCAAGAUGUCUGUUAAAGAUUACUUGAUCUGGAAAGCAUCUGCAGACGUGAAAUACACAUCUCUGUGAUAUAUGUGUGCUAUCAGCGUACUGUAGCUCACUUUGCAUGAUGCCCAAAACAUGCUGUCUAGGUAGGCAGCUCAAUAUGAUGUCCAAAACUGGUGUUUACAUAGGCAGCUCACUAAAUAUGAUGCCCAAAAAUUGUUCUCUAGGAGAGGUAGCUCACUAGGCACAAUUCCCAAAACUGGUGUCUACUUCAACACCCUUACUAUCUAGGUGGGCAGCAUACUAGAUGUGAUGCCCAAAAUGAUUGAGUAGGUAGGCAUAUCACUAGGUUUUACACCCAUAAAUACUGUAUAGUUAGGUAGCACAUGAGCACAUGCUGUCUUGUGUACCCUUACAAAAAAUAUGUUUAUUCAAGUGUGCUAUUAGUAUACUUCUUUUAAACUAAAAAUAGGAAAGUAUGUUUGUAGUUUACUUUUUUAUGUACUUCUCAUAAAUGGGUUUUAUGUACUUCUCAGAAAUAUACUUAAAAUUACAUUUAAGUAUACUUGACUUAUACUUACAAAAAGUCUAAUUAUAUUUGAACCAUACCUGUGCUCCUAGAAUCUGUGUUUUCAGUGUUAUACGGUAGAGGGCGCUAGUACACAUCUUCUGUACAGAAUUUCCAAAAAAAAACACAAGUGAAGAAGAAAAAGAAACAACAGAUACUAACACAUGUAAUCUAACACGACCAUCUGACAUGAAACAGCAUCAAAACUGUAUGAAUAAAAUGUCGACCGAUGAAGAGGUUAUAAUUACAGUCAAGCUUUGGGGUGUUGAUCGACUCCAUCUAUGUUUUGAUUAUCAUUCUGAAUCCAAUUCAGUCUUUUUUCAGCUUUUUGUUCAAAAUGGUAUUUCUUUAUUUUUUUUAAUGAAACUUACCCACAUUAAAGUGUUUAAAAAAAUAAUGCAUGAAGCUAGAAUAAAAUGUUUUUGUUUACAAGCAUAUACCCUGCUCUUUCUUUGGAUGUUUUGUAUGUUCAGAUAUUCA